AAAGAAAGCGUAAUAGCUCACUGGUCGAGUCGGCCUGCGCGGAAGAUGUAACGGGGCUAAACCAUGCACCGAAGCUGCGGCAGCGACGCUUAGGCGUUGUUGGGUAGGGGAGCGUUCUGUAAGCCGUCGAAGGUGUGCUGUGAGGCAUGCUGGAGGUAUCAGAAGUGCGAAUGCUGACAUAAGUAACGAUAAAGCGGGUGAAAAGCCCGCUCGCCGGAAGACCAAGGGUUCCUGUCCAACGUUAAUCGGGGCAGGGUGAGUCGACCCCUAAGGC
RNAcentral lists this ribosomal RNA (274 nucleotides) under Enterobacter hormaechei. RNAcentral's name for it is "partial 23S ribosomal RNA". It matches the Rfam family "Bacterial large subunit ribosomal RNA", at positions 1125 to 1397 of the family's 2925-position model. The record is from RNAcentral. Lineage: Bacteria; Pseudomonadati; Pseudomonadota; Gammaproteobacteria; Enterobacterales; Enterobacteriaceae.